GAUGAACGCUGGCGGCGUGCCUAAUACAUGCAAGUCGAGCGAACGGACGAGAAGCUUGCUUCUCUGAUGUUAGCGGCGGACGGGUGAGUAACACGUGGAUAACCUACCUAUAAGACUGGGAUAACUUCGGGAAACCGGAGCUAAUACCGGAUAAUAUUUUGAACCGCAGGGUUCAAAAGUGAAAGACGGUCUUGCUGUCACUUAUAGAUGGAUCCGCGCUGCAUUAGCUAGUUGGUAAGGUAACGGCUUACCAAGGCAACGAUGCAUAGCCGACCUGAGAGGGUGAUCGGCCACACUGGAACUGAGACACGGUCCAGACUCCUACGGGAGGCAGCAGUAGGGAAUCUUCCGCAAAGGGCGAAAGCCUGACGGAGCAACGCCGCGUGAGUGAUGAAGGUCUUCGGAUCGUAAAACUCUGUUAUUAGGGAAGAACAUAUGUGUAAGUAACUGUGCACAUCUUGACGGUACCUAAUCAGAAAGCCACGGCUAACUACGUG
Molecule: ribosomal RNA, 497 nt
Filed under: uncultured bacterium
Lineage: Bacteria
Description: partial 16S ribosomal RNA
Rfam family: Bacterial small subunit ribosomal RNA
Source: RNAcentral